This is a long non-coding RNA of Nannospalax galili (Upper Galilee mountains blind mole rat), 344 nucleotides long. RefSeq lists it as uncharacterized. NCBI's taxonomy places the organism in Eukaryota, Metazoa, Chordata, Mammalia, Rodentia, Spalacidae. The transcript is spliced from 3 exons. The record is from RefSeq and is a predicted model, not a curated record.
UUCUCCAGGCUGCUACUGUCAAUUUAGAAAUCUCUUCCAACACUGUUUUUGGUAUACUAAUACUCAAACUGAUAAGAAAAGGCCCUUAGGGCAAUUCUGUUUCCCUUGUUAAUAUAAUCUGAAAGGGUGCUUUGCAGGUGGGGUCUAAUUGCUUCUUGGCAGGCGGAAUUAGCAUUUUCAAAGGCCAGAUGUUUUACAAAAGCACUUUCUUCUGAUUCCCCAGCUAUCCUUUCAGCCACACUUGUAAGGCAACUGAUAAACUCAGCGUAUGACUCAUCCCGGCCCUGGCGUAUUUUUGCCAGAGAGGAGGUGGUGGGCCCCUUUGGGGGGAGGUGCCGCCAGGC